Molecule: ribosomal RNA, 416 nt
Filed under: uncultured bacterium
Lineage: Bacteria
Description: bacterial SSU rRNA
Rfam family: Bacterial small subunit ribosomal RNA
Source: RNAcentral
CCGAAAGGCAGGAGUGCCUGCAAGGGAGCGCGGAGACAGGUGGUGCAUGGCUGUCGUCAGCUCGUGUCGUGAGAUGUUGGGUUAAGUCCCGCAACGAGCGCAACCCUCACCUCUUGUUGCCAUCAGGUCAUGCCGGGCACUCUAGAGGAACUGCCCCGGUCAACGGGGAGGAAGGCGGGGAUGACGUCAAGUCAUCAUGCCCCUUACGUCCUGGGCUACACACGUGCUACAAUGGCCGGUACAAAGGGAUGCCACACCGCGAGGUAGAGCUAAACCCAAAAAGCCGGUCUAAGUUCGGAUUGGAGUCUGCAACUCGACUCCAUGAAGGGGGAAUCGCUAGUAAUCGCGUAUCAGCACGACGCGGUGAAUACGUUCCCGGGCCUUGUACACACCGCCCGUCACACCACGAAAGCCAG